AUACGGAGGAUCCGAGCGUUAUCCGGAUUUAUUGGGUUUAAAGGGAGCGUAGGCGGACGCUUAAGUCAGUUGUGAAAGUUUGCGGCUCAACCGUAAAAUUGCAGUUGAUACUGGGUGUCUUGAGUACAGUAGAGGCAGGCGGAAUUCGUGGUGUAGGGGUGAAAUGCUUAGAUAUCACGAAGAACUCCGAUUGCGAAGGCAGCCUGCUGGACUGUAACUGACGCUGAUGCUCGAAAGUGUGGGUAUCAAACAGGAUUAGAUACCCUGGUAGUCCACACAGUAAACGAUGAAUACUCGCUGUUUGCGAUAUACAGUAAGCGGCCAAGCGAAAGCGUUAAGUAUUCCACCUGGGGAGUACGCCGGCAACGGUGAAACUCAAAUGAAUUGGCGGGG
RNAcentral lists this ribosomal RNA (393 nucleotides) under uncultured bacterium. RNAcentral's name for it is "partial 16S ribosomal RNA". It matches the Rfam family "Bacterial small subunit ribosomal RNA", at positions 523 to 918 of the family's 1533-position model. The record is from RNAcentral.